GACGAACGCUGGCGGCGUGCCUAAUACAUGCAAGUAGAACGCUGAAGGAGGAGCUUGCUUCUCUGGAUGAGUUGCGAACGGGUGAGUAACGCGUAGGUAACCUGCCUGGUAGCGGGGGAUAACUAUUGGAAACGAUAGCUAAUACCGCAUAAUAGCAGUUGUUGCAUGACAACUGUUUGAAAGGUGCAAUUGCACCACUACCAGAUGGACCUGCGUUGUAUUAGCUAGUUGGUGGGGUAACGGCUCACCAAGGCGACGAUACAUAGCCGACCUGAGAGGGUGAUAGGCCACACUGGGACUGAGACACGGCCCAGACUCCUACGGGAGGAAGCAGUAGGGAAUCUUCGGCAAUGGACGGAAGUCUGACCGAGCAACGCCGCGUGAGUGAAGAAGGUUGUCGGAUCGUAAAGCUCUGUUGUAAGAGAAGAACGAGUGUGAGAGUGGAAAGUUCACACUGUGACGGUAUCUGACCAGAAAGGGACGGCUAACUACGUG
Molecule: ribosomal RNA, 495 nt
Filed under: uncultured bacterium
Lineage: Bacteria
Description: partial 16S ribosomal RNA
Rfam family: Bacterial small subunit ribosomal RNA
Source: RNAcentral